Non-coding RNA from Hordeum vulgare subsp. vulgare (domesticated barley), 135 nucleotides. The record is from Rfam. NCBI's taxonomy places the organism in Eukaryota, Viridiplantae, Streptophyta, Magnoliopsida, Poales, Poaceae.
AACAUAUUUCUUCCGUUUCAAAAUUCUUGUCAUAAAUUUGUCUAGAAAUAGAUGUAUCUAAAUACUAUGACAUGACUAGAUACAUUCAUACUUAGACAAAUCUAAGAUAAAAUUUUGAGACGGAGGGAGUACUAG